Molecule: non-coding RNA, 75 nt
Organism: Parelaphostrongylus tenuis
Lineage: Eukaryota; Metazoa; Nematoda; Chromadorea; Rhabditida; Metastrongylidae
Source: the annotation of a GenBank genome assembly
GGCGUCGCUAAUGCAAUUGGUUAGCACGCGCUACCGGAAAGGAUGAAAUGCGGGUUCGAUUCCCGCCUGACGUCA